Molecule: long non-coding RNA, 326 nt
Organism: Bradysia coprophila
Lineage: Eukaryota; Metazoa; Arthropoda; Insecta; Diptera; Sciaridae
Source: RefSeq, a predicted model, not a curated record
GUCAAACGAUUACAAAAAUUGUUAAAAAGCAACAUUGAAUCUAACUGACAAAAACACAAUAACUUGCGACAUCACUGUGAUGCAAGUUUUAUCCUGCGACGAAAGAUCUCACGAGAAGCACUCUCGUUGUACACGUCGGCAAACCUCUCGAACUCCCUACACGUCGCUGCGACUGGUUCAUUAUACCCGUAGCUGGUUCUAUGCGAAGGAGGACGAAAGACGUUCGUUCAGCGAAAGCUGUAUGAGUGGAUCGGCCUAUUGCGAUACGAAUCAAAGAGUUCAACCAGCGACGGUGCACGAACCCUACCAAGAUAAGUAAUUUUAAC